Molecule: small nuclear RNA, 104 nt
Organism: Lontra canadensis (Northern American river otter)
Lineage: Eukaryota; Metazoa; Chordata; Mammalia; Carnivora; Mustelidae
Source: RefSeq, a predicted model, not a curated record
GUGCUGGCUUCAGCAACACAUAUACUAAAACUGGAACAUAACAGAGAUUAGCACGGCCCCUGUACAAGGAUGACAUGCAAAUUUGUGAAGUGUCCCAUAUUAAA